AUAAUUAUUAUCACAUGUAAAUCUUUUGGUUUAAUGAAUUUUUUUUUAUGAAAUCUAUAUACAUUAUAUUAAUACUUUCCUGCUUUAAUAAUUAAAAAUAAAAAAUAAGAGAGUAUAAAAAAAAAAAAAAAAAAACUUAAAAAAGUUGAAUUUUUUUUUUUUUUUUUUAUUGAUUGAAGUUCAUGAUUUGUUUAUUAUAACAAUAUUCAAAUAUAUGUUUUUUAAAAGUUUGUUAAACAUGUUUGCUUUAAUUAUGUUUCAUUUUUAUAUUUUUUAAAAAAAUAUACAUUUUUAUAAAUAAUUAAUAAAAAAAAUUAUAUACAAAAAUUUAAUAUAAACAUAUAUACAAAUAUAAACAAAAAGAAAUUGCAAAUAUAUUUAUAUAUACUUAUUACUACUUCAAAAAAAAUAUAUGGAAAAAUAUAUGUUUCAUAAGUAUAAUUUUUUCACAUUUUUAUUUUUUUUUCGUUUUAUACGAAAAUAUAAACUAAAUUAUAUAGCUCAUAUACACGAACUAAUAUAUUUUUGUUUGGACAAAAUGUUAAAAUCCGACGUAAACUUACUACAUAAAUAUCUAAAUAAAAUAUAUAAUGUUUAGCGAAUGCAAUUAUAUAUAUAUAUGUACAUAUAUAAAAAUAUAUAUUAAUUAUUAACCCGAACUAUGUAUCAUAAAAAUUACAUACGCUAACAUACACAUGUUAAUGUACAUAUGCAUUAUUUAUUAUAUCGAAUGGAACAAAAAACAGUUGGAGCAAAGGUCAAGUAAAAAGAAAAUUCGUUUAAAAACAAGAUAACUUAAGAACAAGGAGACUUAUAAAUACAGUAACUUAAAAACGGAGUGACAUAGUAACCAUAAAUAUGGACUAUUUUGAUGAAGAUCUACUAUUUGAGAAUAGCUCAAGUGAUGAAAAAGCAAAAAAAAACAAAAAAAAAUAUGAAAACUUUUAUAAAAACUACAAAAAGAAAAGAAAAGAUGAUAAUAUAAAAGAUGAUGAUUAUUUGAAACCUGUAAAAUUUGUUAGUGCAGGUUUUUUAAAUAAUAAUAAAUCUAAUAACAAUAAAAAGGAGGAAGGAGAAGGAGAAGAAGAAGAAGAAGAUGAUUAUGAUAUAAAUUAUUACUCUACAAGCGAUGAUUCAGAUGAUUAUGAAAAAUAUGAUGUAUUUAAACACUUUGUUUUUGAUUUAAAUUUUGAUGUAGAAAAUCAAGAAUGUGAUUUUAUAAAAGAUAAUUUAAAAAAAUAUAACUUAAACGAACUGCAGGAAAGUGAUAAACACUUUGAACAAUAUGGUUUAGGAUUCAAAAUAUUAAAAAAAAUGGGUUAUGAAGAUGGAAUAGGAAAUAAAAUAAAAACUAAUAUUGCUCCUAUAGAAAUUAAAAAAAAACACGCACGAUUUAUGGAAGAAAAAGAAAGUAAAUAUUCGGAUGAUUAUAAUUCUAAUGAUGAUAAUUACUCUAAUGAUAAUUAUAAUGAUAUUUUUGAUACACUCAAAGAUAUUGAUAACUUAUGGAGAAAAAAUGGAACUAAUUGUAAAAAGUGUUGGAAUUUUAAUAAAAUAAAAAAUCAAGUCAAAGAUUGGUUAAACUAUCAAGCUUCUUAUUUACCUAAUGAAAUAUCUUAUAAUAACCUUGAUCAAAUUGAUGACACAUAUAUAUUUAAUAUACAGAAUGUUCAACACAACAUGAAUCAAUAUAUUAAAAAAUUAUCGAUAGAGUAUUUUGAUGCUAAAAAAAAAAAAAAACUUUUACAAAAUAAAUUAAAAAAUUAUAAAAAAAGCACAAACGAAAAUGAUAUUUACAAAGCGCACUUGUUAAUUUUAAAAAAUAUAUUAACAUAUAAAUAUUUACUUAACCUACAUACAAUACUUGCUUAUCCGCCUAUGUUAUGUAAUAAAACUUAUAAUGAAUAUCUGUUUGAUUAUAAUCAUGAUUAUAAAAAACAAAUACAAAUUGAAGAAAAUAACAAUAAUGAUAAAAAUAUGGAACAAGACUUAACGCGGCCAAAUAUUACUUUCAAUACAACAGAUGAUGAUAAGUUAAUAAAUAUUCAUAAUCAUUAUUUAUCCAAUAUAUGUAAUAAAAACAAUGAAACAUACUACAUACAAGUUGCCGAUACAUUGUGUGAAACUUACAAUAUUAAUGAUAAUGAUACGUUUGAAAAAAAAUUAAAUGACAUACUAAUAAGAAAUUAUAAAACAUUAUGUGAACAUAAUUAUUUUAAAAAUGUUCAAAAGGAAUCCAAACGUACAUUACAACAUAAUAAUACAUACAAAUUAUUAGAAAAUUUAGAAACUAUAUACCAUUUAAUAAAUAUUAAAAAUAUUCAAGUUAAAAAAAAAAACGAUCCAUUAUUUUUAAGUGAUUUAUAUAUUUUUAUGUUUUUUAUUUAUGAAAAUGCUAAAUUUUUAUGUUUAAAUAAACAUGUGUCCUACUUUUUUUUAGAGUUCUUAAGAGUUUAUUUUUAUAAUAAACAAAAUCAAAAUGUUCAAGAAAGUCUAAAGAAUGAUAUAUUAUUAAGUGACAAAUAUCAUGAAGAAAUUAUUCCAGACAAACAGCAAAAUGUAUUGCGCGAACAAAUAAGGUCAACAAAAAAAGAACUUACCCAAAACGAACAUGCACAAACAUAUCUUACUAAUUCUCUUGAUGCACAAACAAAUCAAAAUGUUAUAAAUCACAUACAACACAAUAAUGACAAAAAUAUUAAAUAUAAUAAAAAUCUUAACAACAAUAAUGAAACAAUCAAUGAAAAUAACAUAAAAUAUUUAAUACAUUUAAAAAAAUUAGUUUUAAUGGGCAUUCAUGAACAUAAUACAACCGAAUAUCAUAAUGUUGAAAUUCAAUUUGAUAAUAUAAUAUAUUUUAAUUUAAUUUAUAAUCAAAUUGAAGAACAAAAUUAUUAUGAAUUUUUUAAUUAUAUAACACUUUUUAAAGAUGCUUUUAGUAACAAUUAUUACAAAAAAAUUUUAAUAUUUUUUAUUAAAAAAAAAAUAAUAACAAAUAUAACUGUUAGUGAAAAUAACCAACUAAAUGAAAAUACGCUUUUGGACAUAAAAUUUAAAUUAUCUUUAUUAUUUGAUAUUAAUAAACAGUUUGAUAUCAGUUCUUACAUAAAUCAAUAUUAUACACAAACAUUAUCUAAUUAUUUACGGUAUUGUGAUAUAUCAGCUAAUUACAUAAAAUUAAUUAAAUUAACAAUUAAAAAUAAUAUGUACAAAAAAGAAAUUUUUGAAAUCAUUGUA
RNAcentral lists this long non-coding RNA (3237 nucleotides) under Piliocolobus tephrosceles (Ugandan red Colobus). RNAcentral describes it as "lncRNA (ENSPTEG00000014807.1)". The record is from RNAcentral. Lineage: Eukaryota; Metazoa; Chordata; Mammalia; Primates; Cercopithecidae.